AAAACCAAAUCAAGCUGGCUAUGAUUGGCUAAAAAGAAACCCCAACUAUUUGCGAACAGUAGUGUUUUUAAUUUUCAGGGAAAAGUAUUAUCAGCUAGGCUGCAAAAACAUUGUUACACACUCAUUUUAAGCACAAAAUCUACCAACAAAGAUGAGAUUUUGAAAUGUAACUCAAUAGAACAAGUAGAGUUUAGAAACCAGGACAUAAAUUCAGUAAACUGGUAACACAUGCAAAUGCAACUCAAAUAAUAAUAUAUUGUAUUCCAAACUAACCAACCACCCACCCACCUCAGGAGCGCAAGCACUCUAAAACACCCAUCUGAAGUCUAAAACCAGUAAAGGCACUUCUUCUAUAGAUAUCUGUGACUAUAUUAAGUUGUUACUCUUGAAAUCUAUAAAAUAAGCAAAGACCAUUCUGAUGCUAGUUUCUGUGACCAAAUAUAAUUAGCCAUAUCCCAUCACAAAGAAAAAAAUAAAGCAUGAAUUCAGAAGGAAAGGAAAUGAAGAAUAAAAGGUAAAACAUGAUAGAAACAAAAAUCAUGUCCACAACGUGCAGCCAUUUGUGCCAACACUACUUCUCAUCACGGCCACUACAACAAGUCAUGGCUCCUAAUAUGAAACAAAUACUGUCAUCCGAAAGAAAAUAAAAAAAACUAGCUCGUUCCCAGCUUUUCCCUAUAAAUAAUCUGCUGUUAAUUUAUAGUACUGCCAUUAUUUUUCAGUGAAAAUCACUGAGAGCAUUAUUUACGCAACCAUCAGCAGCAGCACUAAAUUGCAAACACUAUCCCACCUGCCUGCAAAGCAUCAGAAGUGACAUCUACCAUCACUAGCACAACAAAUUCCAGGAAAACAAAGAACACGCAAGAGAAAAUGUUGACAUAUGGAAAGACGGAUAUUUUUCCAUCUGAUGGGCAUGCUUUUGUGAGUCACUUCCAUUAGUAGUGGUAGUCUUUUUAGGAUAUUAUUGAAGCAGAGAGGGGGAAAGAACAUGAUCAAGAAAAGAAAAGAAGAAAAGAAUGGCUUAGAAUUUAGGCAGAAUGAUUUAUUACAUACACGAUUCGCUCCUAUAUAUAGGCGUAGAAUCCUAUCAUUAGAAGGAUAAGAAAAAAGGGAAGAUAUAAAACCUAUUACUGAAAGAAAAAAUGAAUUUUAAUUCCUAGCUAGACUAGGAUGUAAGCUAAAGGAAAUAUUUCCAUGAUUCCUAUUCUAACGGCCACUAUUCUGGUUGGAACUCCUAGUAGUACAAGCCAAAAAUUAUUUGAAAAACCAGUUAAUAUAGCCCAAAAAAACCUAAUUAAUAUAGCAAAAAUCCAUGUUUUAAUACAUAGUACAAGAAAAGGCCAUAAUAUUGUACAUUAACAGCAGCAGCCAUGCUUUUUACAUUACAGUUAGAUCACAUCCCCAACAUAUUCCACUGCCUUGGCUUCUUAAGUGUCUUGCUGGAACCGAAAAGGUAUAGAUUCAUCCAGUCUAAACUUCAGAAAAUGGGCUUCCUGUUUAGAAACUUGAGUUGCACUUAUCCAUACUUGUACAGGCAUCAUAAACCUCUAUUAAAAAAAAAAAAAAAACACUCCAUCGUAAAUAUAUGCAUCACAUUUCUUUCCAAGACACACCAUCAAAAAUAAAAUCCAAAAAUAGAUGCUGUAAACAGUAACACCCUCCAAAACCAAAAGCAACUAUAAAAAAUUUAUAUACCAGAACUACACUCUAAUUUCAUGCCGCUUUUAAGAAAUUUACAGAACUGUUUGAUUUGUUGAUGUAUGUGCAAGUCUCCUAGCAUCUGCCCUCGUUGCUCUAGAACUCGAACUAUCAUCAUCAUUUGUUGUUGUGAAUUCAUCCUCUAUGUUUUGAAGAUCAGUUUGCUUAGUCAUCAUUUCUGCAGUAAACGAAUGUCCACCGUCACUACCCUUAUCCAUAGGCAUGGAAGCUGCUGGUCCAUUAUUUAUACAAUCAGUUUCAAAUUGCAGCCCGACGCCAGGGGAAGCAUGAAUUGAAAAGUUUCGUCAUGUUUGGCUCAAUAAAGCUCAUUCACUUUUAACAAAUGAUGUUCCCCUUCGAUGGUGGAGGAAAAUCGAUUUGGGGUUAGGGUUCAUUCAUGGACACAAUUUGAGGAUGGUUUGGAGAAGAGAGAGCUAAAGGUUUCAAUUCAAUGGGCUAAGGCGUGUUUGGAAUUGCACUUUAAAUGAGCUGGCAUUUGAUUUCUUAUUUUGGAGAGAGUUAACA
RNAcentral lists this long non-coding RNA (2223 nucleotides) under Olea europaea (common olive). RNAcentral describes it as "long non-coding RNA (OEUR_LNC014147)". Lineage: Eukaryota; Viridiplantae; Streptophyta; Magnoliopsida; Lamiales; Oleaceae. The record is from RNAcentral.